This 253-nucleotide ribosomal RNA is filed under the name uncultured bacterium. RNAcentral describes it as "partial 16S ribosomal RNA". It matches the Rfam family "Bacterial small subunit ribosomal RNA", at positions 524 to 776 of the family's 1533-position model. The record is from RNAcentral.
UACGAAGGGGGCAAGCGUUGUUCGGAAUUACUGGGCGUAAAGGGCGCGUAGGCGGCCGAUCAAGUCAGGCGUGAAAUUCCCGGGCUCAACCUGGGGGCUGCGCUUGAUACUGAUUGGCUUGAAUGCGGGAGAGGAUAGUGGAAUUCCCAGUGUAGAGGUGAAAUUCGUAGAUAUUGGGAAGAACACCAGUGGCGAAGGCGGCACCCUGGCCGAGUUCUGACGCUGAAGCGCGACAGCGUGGGGAGCAAACGGG